CCUUCUUCUUCUUCUGCAAGCCAAACCGAGAGAGGGAGAAACCCCCUCACCGGCCACCGUGGCAUCUCCACCAUGGCGCCGCCGCUCCAGGCACCCCCCUCCUCCUCCGAGCACACCCAGAGCUCCGCCUCGUUCCCCUCUUCCUCCUGGUGCACGGAAUCGACCGGAGGAGCCUUCUACCGUCGCCAAAUCGCCGGUUCUCUCACUCCGGCCGCCGCAGUUCAUGGAUGAUUUCGGCGCCGUCCGUCCGCCCCCGUCUUCACCGAGGUCACCACCGCCUUCCUGACCUCACCGCCGACGCCGUUCCGGUGAACUCCAGGGAGCAGCUCCGCCACCAUCUGGUCCGCGCCAACGAGAGGAAGCCAGCGAGCCUACGCGUGCGUCUUGGGGCGCUCUACGUCGUCCGCGCGCCCCAUGCCGCCCCGGUGGUCACCGCCGUUUCCGCGACGCGCGCGGCAUCAACCUGCGUCGAACACCUUCCCUGCGCCUCACACGCUUCGCCAGCGUGGCAUCCACGUCGUCCCCACGGUCCCACCUGUCAGCCAGAUUGGCUAGAUCUUCCCUGGGCGAGAAAACAUCCCCCAGAUCUGGAUCUGGACGGUUUGCGUCCAGGCCCUUUUGUUUCCCAGAUCCUCAACCCGAGGUCCUUCUGUGCAGGAGAUUUUGCGAGCAGCCCCCUGCAUUCCUGGAGAUCCAACCCGGGCCCCCUUCUGCCGUGUCAGCAGCCGCGUCAGCGUCCUGGCCCCGCGUGUCAGUGCUGUGGCUAGCUGUUCGUGGCAUUUGCUUCUUCACGGAUAGGAUCACGAAGUGGUGUUGUGAGAUACGACAAGUUCUUUUGCAGCUUUUCACAGGCGAGCCCUCUCUCUUCACCUACUCUCCCUCGCAUUGCUAUCCUUAUGUUGCGCUUCUUUAUCGAGUCACUUGUCCUAUUCCACUUGUUUACCAUAAUAAUCCCAUAUAUAUCAUUCCUUACCCUUAGCCGUUGCUUGAUGUUUGAGCCUUGCGAGUCGUAGGCGUGUUUAGGCUCUAUUGUUUAUCUCGAUCUGUUAUCGGGAUAUGUUGGGUUGUUGGGAGGUUAUCACAUGCUACAUCAGUUAUUCACACUUUACUUUAUUGUUAACAACUAAAAUUGUAAGCAGAGGCAUCUGUGAGCCCCUUUGCGAAAGCAUCGGAACUUUGACUCGCUAAUGUCCCCUAGGACCCGAGUUCUUGUUAUCUGUUCCGAGAUUGAGCGCUCUACCCGUACGUGGGGACGUUUAUUGGGACCCCCCCUCACCCAUUACCUUUUCUCAAGUCAGUUGAAAAGGGGGCCACAACCUUGGUUUUAUUUGCCUAUGCCAUGUAUGCCAUGCUUUACUUACUGUUGCCUUCGGGUGUUUACUUCCUGUUGCCUUCGGGUGUUUAUAUUCUGUACUGUACCCCGCGGGACGUUUAGCGAAGCGUGUGGUUCGCACGCCUAGCCGCCGACGCAAACCCUGAGUCCGUCUCGGAGUACGGCCGGACUUCGUCACGGGUAGCUUAGUCGGGUGGCCCCCCUAGACUUUCUUGUUGAAGUGGGAACGGUCUUGUUGUGAGACAUCCACCUGUCGUAAGUGGGUCGAGCAUGCGUAUGGUUACAUUUGGGCAACCCCUGCAGGGUGUACAUCUUUUCGAAAAGCCGUGUCCGCGGUUAUGGACGACUUGGAAUUGUAUAGCUCGAUCAUAGAACAACUUACACCUUUAUGUUAUUGAUAAUAAUUUGCUAAUAACUUGAUUAGUAAUAUAGGAUUACUACAACCGAUACCUAAUAAAACUUGUCCACCGUUGAGUGCCUUUUACAUUGCCUCUUCACUUUGUUGGAGGGGAUAUGUGUAAUCGGCUGGGUUAUGUUUGUGUAGUAUUUAUCUGUUACCUUGUGCGCUCUCUUAUCUUCUCUGAGUAGACGGAUGUUGUAGCGUGUCACUAUUGGUUAUAGUUUUGCUGCCGCUAAACCUACCAUAUAGCCCUAGGCGAUAUAUAUUUAUACUCGCCCGGCGAGCAUAGCCAUUUCUAGUCUCGCUAAGUACGUGCCGGAGUUCGUUCCUUGGUACUUACUCUCGCCAUUCCCCUUUCUCUUUUGCUUCCUCCCUUUUGUCGGCAACCGAUGGCCCGACUUUGGCAGGUACAAGAUGACGACGUUAGCAAGGUUACCCUUCCGGCUUGGCCUGGGCAGGGUUAUGGACGCCAUUGGUUAUCUUCAGGACUCUUAGUCCAAUUUGUAUCUUGUCCGUACUCGGACUUAUUUGAUCUUCUGUAUGAUUUGGAUCUUUGUAUUGUAUAUUUGUAUCUUGACUCGUUGGAGUCGUUGUUGUAAUAUAUGUAUCUUGUGGGCUCUA
Molecule: non-coding RNA, 2354 nt
Organism: Lolium perenne
Lineage: Eukaryota; Viridiplantae; Streptophyta; Magnoliopsida; Poales; Poaceae
Source: RefSeq, a predicted model, not a curated record